UCUAGAACUCGAGAUAUGGGCUGAACACUGAACAGUGUCUGGGCUGCAGGACAUAUUCCGACUUCUCCAUUGUUGCUAAGAUUUGGACUUCCAAACAGCUGAAUUGAGUCUUUCACUCCGCAUGAAUGUUUUAGGCCCAUGUCUUAGCUUUCUAGC
Non-coding RNA from Populus trichocarpa (black cottonwood), 156 nucleotides. Lineage: Eukaryota; Viridiplantae; Streptophyta; Magnoliopsida; Malpighiales; Salicaceae. The record is from Rfam.